Molecule: ribosomal RNA, 468 nt
Filed under: uncultured bacterium
Lineage: Bacteria
Description: partial 16S ribosomal RNA
Rfam family: Bacterial small subunit ribosomal RNA
Source: RNAcentral
GACGAACGCUGGCGGCGUGCUUAACACAUGCAAGUCGAACGGAAAAGCCCUGCUUUUGUGGGGUGCUCGAGUGGCGAACGGGUGAGUAACACGUGAGUAACCUGCCCUUGACUUUGGGAUAACUUCAGGAAACUGGGGCUAAUACCGGAUAGGAGCUCCUGCUGCAUGGUGGGGGUUGGAAAGUUUCGGCGGUUGGGGAUGGACUCGCGGCUUAUCAGCUUGUUGGUGGGGUAGUGGCUUACCAAGGCUUUGACGGGUAGCCGGCCUGAGAGGGUGACCGGCCACAUUGGGACUGAGAUACAGCCCAGACUCCUACGGGAGGCAGCAGUGGGGAAUAUUGCACAAUGGGCGGAAGCCUGAUGCAGCAACGCCGCGUGCGGGAUGAAGGCCUUCGGGUUGUAAACCGCUUUCGCCUGUGACGAAGCGUGAGUGACGGUAAUGGGUAAAGAAGCACCGGCUAACUACGUG